This is a non-coding RNA of Felis catus (domestic cat), 85 nucleotides long. The record is from Rfam. NCBI's taxonomy places the organism in Eukaryota, Metazoa, Chordata, Mammalia, Carnivora, Felidae.
GCCUGGGUGUCUCAGUUGGUUAAGCAUCUGACUUCAGCUCAGAUCUUGAUCUCGCGGUUCGUGAGUUCGAGCCCCACGUCAGGCU